Molecule: ribosomal RNA, 680 nt
Filed under: uncultured bacterium
Lineage: Bacteria
Description: bacterial SSU rRNA
Rfam family: Bacterial small subunit ribosomal RNA
Source: RNAcentral
GAUAAUCGGGAGAAAUCCCGUCUAAUACCGCGUAACGCCGCGGGGCUGCAUGGCCCUGCGGCCAAAGGAAGCGAUUCCGGCAACGGAUGGGCAUGCGUGACAUUAGCUAGUUGGCGGGGCAACGGCCCACCAAGGCGACGAUGUCUAGGGGUUCUGAGAGGAAGGUCCCCCACACUGGUACUGAGACACGGACCAGACUCCUACGGGAGGCAGCAGUGAGGAAUAUUGGUCAAUGGGCGCGAGCCUGAACCAGCCAAGUCGCGUGAGGGAUGACGGCCCUACGGGUUGUAAACCUCUUUUGUCGGGGAGCAAAUUCCGCCACGUGUGGCGGAGUCGAGAGUACCCGAAGAAAAAGCAUCGGCUAACUCCGUGCCAGCAGCCGCGGUAAUACGGAGGAUGCGAGCGUUAUCCGGAUUUAUUGGGUUUAAAGGGUGCGUAGGCGGACUGUCAAGUCAGCGGUAAAAUACGGGGGCUCAACCUCCGCCCGCCGUUGAAACUGACGGUCUUGAGUGGGCGAGAAGUAUGCGGAAUGCGUGGUGUAGCGGUGAAAUGCAUAGAUAUCACGCAGAACUCCGAUUGCGAAGGCAGCAUACCGGCGCCCAACUGACGCUGAAGCACGAAAGCGUGGGUAUCGAACAGGAUUAGAUACCCUGGUAGUCCACGCAGUAAACGAUGAAUAC